GGACAAGAAGACUUCGUUUGUGGUUGUACUUGUUGCUGGAAUUCAAUGGAGAGAAAAUUCACUCCUUUUUUUCCCCUGAUAUUUUAGAGUUUGAUAUUGCAAUAUGAUGAGUGUUUGUUCACAUCAUUAUAAGUCCCUCAGUUGAUCAAAUUGCUUAGAAGGGGGCCCAUGCCGCAUAGUCUUAUUAAUGACUGAAUCAUACCUCACCCACCAACUCCUUUAUAGAUGUAUAGUUGCCUGAAAUCUCAAAAUCCAAUAGCCAACUACUCUCGAAUUCCAUGGGACCAUGGGAACAUUGCUAACAGCCUACAACGGCUCCCAAAAUAGCCUAUGCAAAGGUCUUCUUCCUCAGAAAACAGGCACGUUUCUGAUACUGAAAUGGUUGAUACACUUACGGAUUUAAGCAUCAGAAUGGUACUGAAAUGGUUGAUGCACUUGCAAAGUAAUCAAUCCCUUCAAUAUUGACAGGUCAUUCAAACUUCAAUACCUCAAAAGCAUGCUUCCAUGCUUUGCAUAAACUCAAAAUUUUAAUUCCAUAAUAAGAAAACAACCUACAUGCCAUACCAUACACCAGUUGUAAAGAGCGUGAAUGGAGAACUUUAUAUGUGUAUGGCAAAUCUUCCCUUGUGACAGAAUUGAUAAUUCAAGAGAAAAGAGAACUGCAAUAAAACAAACCCAAUUCCAUGAGCUGCUGUGAGACAAUAAAUACUGUCUGGCUAAUUUCAUAUUUCAGUCAAUCACAACUAAUUCUAUCACAAUCAGGGCAAUGAGACCAACUCUAAUUUAGGUUUAUACUAUAUGCAUAUUAAGUGCUGGUACUCCCCCUCCUCUGAACAGGUUUGUACAGCACAACAGUGACAUAUUUUGAACAGAAGCGAUGAGUAAAACCAAGAGCCACCACAGAACGUGGGGCCUCUCGAUUCUCAAUGUAAAGAUGGUUGAGAAUUACAUUCUGCGGAGCAGGAAUAGUUUCAGAACUGUCCACACUUGCUGGGUAGCUAAGCAAGGUGUGCUGCAGGUGCGGAGGGACUAGAGGUGGGUCCCGUGCCUCAUCUUCAUUCCCAGGGUAGGCAUUGUUGUAACUUGAAUCAGGAGAUUUUGGAACUUCAAAUCCCAUUACAGUUGUGUCUUCAUGAUCAUCAACAUAUUGGUUGCUCAUCUUGAAAAGAGAAGGCAACUGGCUAACAGCACAAAAUCAUCAAAGUUAGCAAUACCACCAACCUGAAAAGAACAUUUUUCUCCUCCCAUGAGCAUAUUAAAAACUAUGAUAAAAGCAUGCACAAAUUUACGCAUAUGUUGUUUAACGGUUCAAACUUUGCAACACCAGAGCAGCCAUGUUCCCUCACAGCAAUCAUAGUUAUAAAGGUUCAUUAUGAGUUUUAUGCUGGCUGAAAACCAAACAUAAUCUUCUUAUCUUAAUUUGAAACAUCUUGAAAAAGAGAGCUUCCACAUUCUAACAACAAAAUAUAAAAGGAGCUUACUUGAACCUAUUAGCAGAGCCACCAUGUGAAAUCACAGCCGUUCAAUUGAGAAGGAGGAUGAUCCAUAAUCAUUUGGCUUAUGCCAGUAAAUUCACUUACUAUGGAAAUUUCGUUGGUUUUAACCCUGGUCUGAGCUAUAAAAUACUAAUCAUAUUUCCCCUUUUUCUUUUAGUUCAUUCCUUUUUGUUAUGUAAAAUAUAUCUUUCAAGUUUAAAGGGAACCAAGAAGUGCCAGCCCCAAUAAAACAUAUUGUGAGUCACAUAUAAUAUAUUCAAAUUUCCUUUUAGCUUCAUGAGACUAAUCUAAACACAGCAAAACAAUACUAUGCAAGUUCCAACAGAAUUUCUAUAAAACGAUACUAUGCAAGUCUAACAGAAUUUCUAUAAAUCCAUCUAAGAUUUAGUCCCCAUUUGAUCAAUGUAAGACAAAAGCUUGAACUUCCUUAAAAGGUGACACUAUCUGGCUUGCAAGAAGCAUAGAGUCAAAAGAAAGUUGGAUUUUUAUUUGUUACUCAACAUCCUCAACUAUAUGGGAACUAUAGCCUAUUGCAAGAAGAAAGGGAUGCUAGGGGGUUUCGGCAUGUACGGUUUAUGGUUAGCAUCUCGAGUUGAACAAAAAACAAAUUGAUUAAAUUAACUUUCAAGCAAACAAAGGCAAUAUUGCAUUUUACAGCGUACUUGCCUAAAAGUUUGUGUUUGAGCUAAACACGAUUGCCUAAGAAAUUAGUUCACUUCCCAGAAAAAGGUAUGCAAACCAAAUAUAUGGACAUGCAACAUACUUGAGAGUAACUUACCUGCUAGUGCAAUAAUAUUUUAAGAAGCAUACAUAUGCAAAUCAAUUGAAGCUUAGUGUCACAAACUUCAACCCUCAAUGAAAGAUUCCAAGAACUCUAAUACGGUGAUCAGUUUAUUCUUUAGGAGAAAGAGAUAUUGACAGGUGGAGAAUUAGAAAGACCUAAAUAAUGUAUUCCAGGGCCAAUGGCAUGCUAACACCUGGUUUUACCAUAGAGAGAAACCAAAAGGAAUUCAAUUUGAAGCAGCAUCACCCUGUAAAAUUUGGGAGCAAAGACAAAUGCUCUGACUAAUUUUCACGUUUACUUGUGAUCAAAUUUUAGGCGUUUGAAAAACACAUGCAAAGAUAAGAUGAAAUCAAAUCCUUAAUAUUUUCUUUUUGCAAUAAAAAACCAACUAACUUGUUAGGCGUUGUAGAUAUUUAAUUAAGUGUCAUAGAUGUGAGGACUGCAUCAUAUAAGAUCUCUAAGCAUUUGCACUAAGUCAACAAAUUAACCAGAUGAUAAAUCUGACCCAGGUGAACAGUAAUGACUUCAUUGCCGAAGAAGUAUUACUUCAUUAUUAGUAUAAUUCUCAGUACUUUAUCUAUUGAGGUUCCUUAUUUCCUGAAAUUUUUGACAUAUGUACGCUGAGAUUAAAAAGAUGUACUUGCUUCUCCACUCUAAUCUAUAGCUGAAAAAGAAUUCCAACUUACUAGAUUAGUACCCAUUUUGUAAUUCUAACGUAAUUUAAUAUCUAAUCACAAAAAGAUAACAGACUUAUGGUGCACAGUAUUAAUGAGGUGAAGAGCUCAAGAGCUUAAGCCAUUGAGGCCAUACCAGAUUCCUACAGAUAUCAACAACCAAUUAAUGACCAGCAGCAAAACAAAGAAGAUAUACAAAAUAUUUGUAUGUAAAAGCAUGACAGUCGUUUUGACAUUUUCAAAUACCAUCACUUCUUAGAAGAAAGUAAUACAUCUCAUAGAAAGAUUUUAUUGUUUGCAGCAAAUCAAUCUGAAUCAAAUUCAGCUGCUUAAUGGAUAACCCAAUUAUUAUCACCCAAUUCAGCUGCUUAAUGGAUAACCCAAUUAUUAUCACCCAUUUUUUCCUCCACAAGCCUUUCACAUUCAACAGGGCUGAGCAUCGGUCGGUUCGGAUUGAUUUGGCUUUGACAAAACCGAAUAACUGGUAUCUUAGAAAAAUCAGAACUGAAGCAAACCGAUUUUAUAAUGAGAACCGGUUCAGUUUACCGGUUUUUUCUAGGUUACUUCAAAUUCCUUAAUUCAAAGGGUUUUGCUGCUGCAAUUGCUAGAGAAAGUAAAGACUUCGAAACAAAUCAAGGAAAAAACAAAGAAUUUGAAAAUUAUAUUACAUAAAAUAAAAUAAAUCAUUUCAAAAAAUCAAAGAAAAGCUGUAAAUUCCCUUAAUACACAAUCCAAUUGAUAGUUCCUCUUUGUACUAAUUCAACAUCAGCUCAAUUGCAUCACAAAAAAUUUCGAAAAUUUAAAAACAAAUUAAAGACCAACCCAAAAAAAUUACCAGAAAAUUAAUUUUGGAGUGGAAAUUGCUUGGAUCUUCAAGAUUCCCAAAUCCAAACUGCACUUGCAACUGUAACUCGACAAGAGCUCAAGGUCUCCAAUCACAAACUUCGAUUUUUUUACCAACCCAAAGUAAGGAGGAAAUCAAACACAAUAAGACCAGAGAGAAGGAAGCAGCGACGAGAGAAUGACGAGACUGGAUCCGCGAGCUUGCAAGGGAGCGUGAGAAGUUGGCAUGACCACGUGAGGCUCUGAUGGAUGGAAGAGAACCGAGGAACGAAGGGAGAAAAGUGAAAAGAGCCGAUGAGAGGCGAGAGGUCACUGAGAUGAGAGGUAGAGGCUGCUUUUCUAGGGGAAUCCGUCCAUCAGAAUCUGAAAUGAACCCUGUCACUCACCAGGUAAAUUUUGUUUCUCGC
This 4204-nucleotide unclassified non-coding RNA is filed under the name Hevea brasiliensis (rubber tree). Lineage: Eukaryota; Viridiplantae; Streptophyta; Magnoliopsida; Malpighiales; Euphorbiaceae. The record is from RNAcentral.